This 667-nucleotide ribosomal RNA is filed under the name uncultured Candidatus Saccharibacteria bacterium. RNAcentral describes it as "bacterial SSU rRNA". It matches the Rfam family "Bacterial small subunit ribosomal RNA", at positions 787 to 1482 of the family's 1533-position model. The record is from RNAcentral. Lineage: Bacteria; Candidatus Saccharimonadota.
GGGGUAGUCCACGCCGUAAACGAUGGAUACUAGCUGUUGGAGGUAUCGACCCCUUCAGUAGCGAAGCUAACGCGUUAAGUAUCCCGCCUGUGGAGUACGGCCGCAAGGCUAAAACAUAAAGGAAUUGACGGGGACCCGCACAAGCGGUGGAUUAUGUUCUUUAAUUCGAUGAUAACCGAAGAACCUUACCAGGGCUUGACAUCCAGGGAAUUUUUGGGAAACCAAUUAGUGCCGUUUGGAACCCUGUGACAGGUGAUGCAUGGCCGUCGUCAGCUCGUGUCGUGAGAUGUUUGGUUAAGUCCAUCAACGAGCGCAACCCUUGUGUCUAGUUGUAUUUUUCUAGACAGACUGCUUCGGUAACGGAGAGGAAGGAGGGGAUGAUGUCAGGUCAGUAUUUCCCUUACGUCCUGGGCUAGAAACACGAUACAAUGGCUAGUACAAUGCGCANGCGAAGCCGCGAGGUGAAGCAAAUCGCAUCAAAGCUAGUCCCAGUUCGGAUUGGAGGCUGAAACUCGCCUCCAUGAAGUCGGAAUCGCUAGUAAUCGCAAAUCAGCAAGUUGCGGUGAAUACGUUCCCGGGUCUUGUACACACCGCCCGUCAAACCAUGAAAGUGACCAACACCCGAAGUCCGAUUCGUCGGCCUAAGGUGGGGGGCAUGAUUGGGGUU